This 71-nucleotide transfer RNA is filed under the name Candidatus Kaiserbacteria bacterium. RNAcentral describes it as "tRNA-Gly". It matches the Rfam family "tRNA". Rfam says of the family: Transfer RNA (tRNA) molecules are approximately 80 nucleotides in length. Their secondary structure includes four short double-helical elements and three loops (D, anti-codon, and T loops). Further hydrogen bonds mediate the characteristic L-shaped molecular structure. tRNAs have two regions of fundamental functional importance: the anti-codon, which is responsible for specific mRNA codon recognition, and the 3' end, to which the tRNAs corresponding amino acid is attached (by aminoacyl-tRNA synthetases). tRNAs cope with the degeneracy of the genetic code in two manners: having more than one tRNA (with a specific anti-codon) for a particular amino acid; and 'wobble' base-pairing, i.e. permitting non-standard base-pairing at the 3rd anti-codon position. The record is from RNAcentral. Lineage: Bacteria; Candidatus Kaiseribacteriota.
GCGGGAUUAGUUUAGUGGCAGAAUGCGACCUUCCCAAGGUUGAGGCACCGGUCCGAUUCCGGUAUCCCGCA